UUCUGGCUCAGGAUGAACGCUGGCGGCGUGCUUAACACAUGCAAGUCGAACGGACCUGCAGCACCGAAGCGGAUUAGCUUGCUAAAGAAGCUUCACCGUUGCAGGUUAGUGGCGGACGGGUGAGUAACGCGUGGGCAACCUACCUUUAUCCGGGGGAUAACAGUUAGAAAUGACUGCUAAUACCGCAUAAGCGCACGAAUGGGCAUCCAUUUGUGUGAAAAACUCCGGUGGAUAGAGAUGGGCCCGCGUUAGAUUAGCCAGUUGGCGGGGUAACGGCCCACCAAAGCGACGAUCUAUAGCCGGCCUGAGAGGGCGACCGGCCACAUUGGGACUGAGACACGGCCCAAACUCCUACGGGAGGCAGCAGUGGGGAAUAUUGCACAAUGGGGGAAACCCUGAUGCAGCGACGCCGCGUGAGUGAAGAAGUAUUUCGGUAUGUAAAGCUCUAUCAGCAGGGAAGAAAAAGGACGGUACCUGCAGAAGAAGCCCCGGCUAACUACGUGCCAGCCGCCGC
This 514-nucleotide ribosomal RNA is filed under the name uncultured bacterium. RNAcentral's name for it is "bacterial SSU rRNA". It matches the Rfam family "Bacterial small subunit ribosomal RNA", at positions 17 to 518 of the family's 1533-position model. The record is from RNAcentral.